AUUGAACGCUGGCGGCAUGCCUUACACAUGCAAGUCGAACGGCAGCGGGGACUUCGGUCCGCCGGCGAGUGGCGAACGGGUGAGUAAUGCAUCGGAACGUACCCGGAAGUGGGGGAUAACGUAGCGAAAGUUACGCUAAUACCGCAUAUUCUGUGAGCAGGAAAGAGGGGGAUCUUCGGACCUCUUGCUUUCGGAGCGGCCGAUGUCAGAUUAGCUAGUUGGUGAGGUAAAGGCUCACCAAGGCGACGAUCUGUAGCGGGUCUGAGAGGAUGAUCCGCCACACUGGAACUGAGACACGGUCCAGACUCCUACGGGAGGCAGCAGUGGGGAAUUUUGGACAAUGGGCGCAAGCCUGAUCCAGCCAUGCCGCGUGAGUGAAGAAGGCCUUCGGGUUGUAAAGCUCUUUCGGCCGGGAAGAAAUCGCAUGGAUUAAUACGUUGGACUCAUGACGGUACCGUAAGAAUAAGCACCGGCUAACUACGUGCCAGCCGCCGCCGUAA
This 500-nucleotide ribosomal RNA is filed under the name uncultured bacterium. RNAcentral describes it as "partial 16S ribosomal RNA". It matches the Rfam family "Bacterial small subunit ribosomal RNA", at positions 30 to 523 of the family's 1533-position model. The record is from RNAcentral.